UGGUCCCACCUGACCCCAUGCCGAACUCAGAAGUGAAACGCCGUAGCGCCGAUGGUAGUGUGGGGUCUCCCCAUGUGAGAGUAGGGAACUGCCAGGCA
This 98-nucleotide ribosomal RNA is filed under the name Enterobacter cloacae. RNAcentral also lists the same sequence under 5 other names. The record is from RNAcentral. Lineage: Bacteria; Pseudomonadati; Pseudomonadota; Gammaproteobacteria; Enterobacterales; Enterobacteriaceae.